UCAGAUCAUCUUUGAUUGGCACUGGUUCC
This 29-nucleotide small RNA is filed under the name Bombyx mori (domestic silkworm). RNAcentral describes it as "ovarian small RNA-25638". The record is from RNAcentral. Lineage: Eukaryota; Metazoa; Arthropoda; Insecta; Lepidoptera; Bombycidae.